UACGUAGGGACCAAGCGUUGUUCGGAUUUACUGGGCGUAAAGGGCGCGUAGGCGGCGCGGUAAGUCACUUGUGAAAUCUCUGAGAUUAACUCAGAACGGCCAAGUGAUACUGCAGUGCUAGAGUGCAGAAGGGGCAAUCGGAAUUCUUGGUGUAGCGGUGAAAUGCGUAGAUAUCAAGAGGAACACCUGAGGUGAAGACGGGUUGCUAGGCUGACACUGACGCUGAGGCGCGAAAGCCAGGGGAGCAAACGGG
RNAcentral lists this ribosomal RNA (253 nucleotides) under uncultured bacterium. RNAcentral's name for it is "partial 16S ribosomal RNA". It matches the Rfam family "Bacterial small subunit ribosomal RNA", at positions 524 to 776 of the family's 1533-position model. The record is from RNAcentral.